UACGGAGGAUCCAAGCGUUAUCCGGAAUCAUUGGGUUUAAAGGGUCCGUAGGCGGAAGCUUAAGUCAGUGGUGAAAGUCUGCAGCUUAACUGUAGAAUUGCCAUUGAUACUGUAGACCUUGAGUAAUUAUGAAGUGGUUAGAAUAUGUAGUGUAGCGGUGAAAUGCAUAGAUAUUACAUAGAAUACCGAUUGCGAAGGCAGAUCACUAAUAAUUUACUGACGCUGAGGGCCGAAAGCGUAGGUAGCGAACAGG
RNAcentral lists this unclassified non-coding RNA (253 nucleotides) under uncultured Flavobacteriaceae bacterium. RNAcentral describes it as "contains 16S-23S intergenic spacer region". It matches the Rfam family "Bacterial small subunit ribosomal RNA", at positions 524 to 776 of the family's 1533-position model. The record is from RNAcentral. Lineage: Bacteria; Pseudomonadati; Bacteroidota; Flavobacteriia; Flavobacteriales; Flavobacteriaceae.